CACGGAGUUAGCCGAUGCUUUUUCUUCGGAUACACGCAGUCCGGGACACGUCCCGGGUUUUGUUCUCCGACAAAAGAGGUUUACAACCCAUAGGGCCGUCUUCCCUCACGCGGCUUGGCUGGUUCAGGAUCUCUCCCAUUGGCCAAUAUUCCUCACUGCUGCCUCCCGUAGGAGUCUGGUCCGUGUCUCAGUACCAGUGUGGGGGACCUUCCUCUCAGAACCCCUACGCAUCGUCGCCACGGUGGGCCGUUACCCCGCCGUCAAGCUAAUGCGCCGCAUGCCCAUCCUCUUCCGAUGAAUCUUUCCUCGAUCUCGGAUGCCCGAAACCGAUAUACGCGGGAUUAGCCUCCCUUUCGGAAGGUUGUCCCCCUGAAGAGGGCAGGUUGCAUACGUGUUACUCACCCGUGCGCCGGUCGCCGGCAAGGAAAGCAAGCUUCCCUCCCGAUGCCCCUCGACUUGCAUGUGUUAAGCCUGCCGCUAGCGUUCAUCCUGAGCCAGGAUCAAACUCU
This 509-nucleotide ribosomal RNA is filed under the name uncultured Bacteroidota bacterium. Its description in RNAcentral is "uncultured Bacteroidetes bacterium partial 16S ribosomal RNA". Lineage: Bacteria; Pseudomonadati; Bacteroidota. The record is from RNAcentral.